GUGGAUUAGAUACCCUAGUAGUCCACGCCGUAAACGAUGAAUGCUAGGUGUGGGGGAGCAAUCUUCCGUGCCGCAGUUAACGCAAUAAGCAUUCCACCUGGGGAGUACGGCCGCAAGGUUGAAACUCAAAGGAAUUGACGGGAGCCCGCACAAGCAGUGGAGUAUGUGGUUUAAUUCGACGCAACGCGAAGAACCUUACCAGGUCAUGACAUCCCAGGAACCCGGCGUAAUGGCUGGGGUGCCCUUCGGGGAAUCUGGUGACAGGUGGUGCACGGCCGUCGACAGCU
RNAcentral lists this ribosomal RNA (287 nucleotides) under uncultured bacterium. Its description in RNAcentral is "partial 16S ribosomal RNA". It matches the Rfam family "Bacterial small subunit ribosomal RNA", at positions 773 to 1060 of the family's 1533-position model. The record is from RNAcentral.